GAUGAACGCUGGCGGCGUGCCUAAUACAUGCAAGUCGAGCGAACGGACGAGAAGCUUGCUUCUCUGAUGUUAGCGGCGGACGGGUGAGUAACACGUGGAUAACCUACCUAUAAGACUGGGAUAACUUCGGGAAACCGGGGCUAAUACCGGAUGAUAUUUUGAACCGCAUGGUUCAAAAGUGAAAGACGGUCUUGCUGUCACUUAUAGAUGGAUCCGCGCUGCAUUAGCUAGUUGGUAAGGUAACGGCUUACCAAGGCAACGAUGCAUAGCCGACCUGAGAGGGGGAUCGGCCACACUGGAACUGAGACACGGUCCAGACUCCUACGGGAGGCAGCAGUAGGGAAUCUUCCGCAAUGGGCGAAAGCCUGACGGAGCAACGCCGCGUGAGUGAUGAAGGUCUUCGGAUCGUAAAACUCUGUUAUUAGGGAAGAACAUAUGUGUAAGUAACUGUGCACAUCUUGACGGUACCCAAUCAGAAAGCCACGGCUAACUACGUG
This 497-nucleotide ribosomal RNA is filed under the name uncultured bacterium. RNAcentral's name for it is "partial 16S ribosomal RNA". It matches the Rfam family "Bacterial small subunit ribosomal RNA", at positions 28 to 507 of the family's 1533-position model. The record is from RNAcentral.